RNAcentral lists this ribosomal RNA (472 nucleotides) under uncultured bacterium. RNAcentral's name for it is "bacterial SSU rRNA". It matches the Rfam family "Bacterial small subunit ribosomal RNA", at positions 20 to 507 of the family's 1533-position model. The record is from RNAcentral.
UGGCUCAGGACGAACGCUGGCGGCGUGCCUAACACAUGCAAGUCGAGCGAAUGAAGUUCCUUCGGGAACGGAUUUAGCGGCGGACGGGUGAGUAACACGUGGGCAACCUGCCUCAUAGAGGGGAAUAGCCUUCCGAAAGGGAGAUUAAUACCGCAUAAGAUUGUAGUACCGCAUGGUACAGCAAUUAAAGGAGCAAUCUGCUAUGAGAUGGGCCCGCGGCGCAUUAGCUAGUUGGUGAGGUAACGGCUCACCAAGGCGACGAUGCGUAGCCGACCUGAGAGGGUGAUCGGCCACAUUGGGACUGAGACACGGCCCAGACUCCUACGGGAGGCAGCAGUGGGGAAUAUUGCACAAUGGGGGAAACCCUGAUACAGCAACGCCGCGUGAGUGAUGACGGCCUUCGGGUAGUAAAGCUCUGUCUUCAGGGACGAUAAUGACGGUACCUGAGGAGGAAGCCACGGCUAACUACGUG